RNAcentral lists this ribosomal RNA (525 nucleotides) under uncultured bacterium. RNAcentral's name for it is "bacterial SSU rRNA". It matches the Rfam family "Bacterial small subunit ribosomal RNA", at positions 387 to 905 of the family's 1533-position model. The record is from RNAcentral.
UGCAGCCAUGCCGCGUGUGUGAAGAAGGCCUUCGGGUUGUAAAGCACUUUCAGUUGUGAGGAAAGGUUAGUAGUUAAUACCUGCUAGCUGUGACGUUAGCAACAGAAGAAGCACCGGCUAACUCCGUGCCAGCAGCCGCGGUAAUACGGAGGGUGCGAGCGUUAAUCGGAAUUACUGGGCGUAAAGCGUACGCAGGCGGUUUGUUAAGCGAGAUGUGAAAGCCCCGGGCUCAACCUGGGAACUGCAUUUCGAACUGGCAAACUAGAGUGUGAUAGAGGGUGGUAGAAUUUCAGGUGUAGCGGUGAAAUGCGUAGAGAUCUGAAGGAAUACCGAUGGCGAAGGCAGCCACCUGGGUCAACACUGACGCUCAUGUACGAAAGCGUGGGGAGCAAACGGGAUUAGAUACCCCGGUAGUCCACGCCGUAAACGAUGUCUACUAGGAGUUCGGUUUUUCGGAACUGUCUUCCAAAGCUAACGCAUUAAGUAGACCGCCUGGGGAGUACGGCCGCAAGGUUAAAACUCAAG